GGAUUAGAUACCCUGGUAGUCCACGCCGUAAACGAUGUCGACCAGCCGUUGGGUGCCUAGCGCACUUUGUGGCGAAGUUAACGCGAUAAGUCGACCGCCUGGGGAGUACGGCCGCAAGGUUAAAACUCAAAUGAAUUGACGGGGGCCCGCACAAGCGGUGGAGCAUGUGGUUUAAUUCGAUGCAACGCGAAGAACCUUACCUACUCUUGACAUCCUGCGAAUUUGGUAGAGAUACCUUAGUGCCUUCGGGAACGCAGAGACAGGUGCUGCAUGGCUGUCGUCAGCUCGUGCCG
RNAcentral lists this ribosomal RNA (293 nucleotides) under uncultured bacterium. RNAcentral describes it as "partial 16S ribosomal RNA". It matches the Rfam family "Bacterial small subunit ribosomal RNA", at positions 775 to 1067 of the family's 1533-position model. The record is from RNAcentral.